UUAUAUUAAAAUAAUUUUGCUGGGGUGCCUGGAUAGCUCACCUAGGAGAGUGUGCGCCCAUGUGCAGAGGCUCAGUCCUCGCUGCAGCGGUCGCGGGUUCAGUUCUGACCUGUGACCCAUUUCUGUAUGUCAUUCUCCCUCCCCCCACCCUCUCAAGUCUAAGCUGUCAUGUCAAAUAAAGGCCUAAA
Molecule: long non-coding RNA, 188 nt
Organism: Etheostoma spectabile (orangethroat darter)
Lineage: Eukaryota; Metazoa; Chordata; Actinopteri; Perciformes; Percidae
Exons: 3
Source: RefSeq, a predicted model, not a curated record